Molecule: transfer RNA, 73 nt
Filed under: Anaerolineae bacterium
Lineage: Bacteria; Bacillati; Chloroflexota; Anaerolineae
Also listed under: 1 other name
Description: tRNA-Thr
Rfam family: tRNA
About the family: Transfer RNA (tRNA) molecules are approximately 80 nucleotides in length.
Source: RNAcentral
GCCGACGUAGCUCAAUCGGCAGAGCAGCCGCCUUGUAAGCGGCAGGUUACGGGUUCAAUUCCCGUCGUCGGCU